GAUGAACGCUGGCGGCGUGCCUAAUACAUGCAAGUCGAGCGAACAGACGAGGAGCUUGCUCCUCUGACGUUAGCGGCGGACGGGUGAGUAACACGUGGAUAACCUACCUAUAAGACUGGGAUAACUUCGGGAAACCGGAGCUAAUACCGGAUAAUAUAUUGAACCGCAUGGUUCAAUAGUGAAAGACGGUUUUGCUGUCACUUAUAGAUGGAUCCGCGCCGCAUUAGCUAGUUGGUAAGGUAACGGCUUACCAAGGCAACGAUGCGUAGCCGACCUGAGAGGGUGAUCGGCCACACUGGAACUGAGACACGGUCCAGACUCCUACGGGAGGCAGCAGUAGGGAAUCUUCCGCAAAGGGCGAAAGCCUGACGGAGCAACGCCGCGUGAGUGAUGAAGGUCUUCGGAUCGCAAAACUCUGUUAUUAGGGAAGAACAAAUGUGUAAGUAACUAUGCACGUCUUGACGGUACCUAAUCAGAAAGCCACGGCUAACUACGUG
This 497-nucleotide ribosomal RNA is filed under the name uncultured bacterium. Its description in RNAcentral is "partial 16S ribosomal RNA". It matches the Rfam family "Bacterial small subunit ribosomal RNA", at positions 28 to 507 of the family's 1533-position model. The record is from RNAcentral.